GCCUUCAGAUGACCUGUUCUACUGGCAGGUCAGAGGCGCUGGAGCCUUUGACUAGAAGUGAUGAUAAGCAGCGAGGGAUAGGUUGAGGAGCAGUGAUGUCUCCCAACACCCCUAAACAGAAUAUAUUCAGACCUGCAGUGCAAAUUCCUCCUAUAUUCUUUGUAACUUUUUCCACCAAAAUAGAAUUUAAUCUCUACACAAGAGGCAGAAGCUUAUAAAGAUCCUCCCUCAAUAAGCACAGACAAGGUUCCAGCUGCUGUGACUGGGAAGGAAAACCUCAAAAAUGAGAAAUUAGGAAUUGUCUGCCUCAAGGUUGGAGGUGUGGCUGGGUCCUCCUUCUUGCACAGUUACUCUGAAUGAAAUCCUUUAGGAGACAUUCCAGGAGAAAUGAAGAUGUUUCAAUCAAACCAAAAAGCAAAUGCAAAGGACAUUUUGAGCAGAGUGGAGUUGUCAUGUAGAAACAAUUAUUUUCCUUCCUACACGUCUCUCGGAAAAACUGAUGUAUGCUCUUCUCCAUUCAAAGAUUAAAUUUUGAAGCAACUAUUUUGAAGUUGCAUGUUGUUAGGGGGUUUUGUUUGUUUGUUUGGGGUUUUGUUACAUU
Neopsephotus bourkii (Bourke's parrot) is the source of this 601-nucleotide long non-coding RNA. RefSeq lists it as uncharacterized. The transcript is spliced from 4 exons. The record is from RefSeq and is a predicted model, not a curated record. Lineage: Eukaryota; Metazoa; Chordata; Aves; Psittaciformes; Psittacidae.